GCGGAUUUCGAUCUCCGAGACCCCAACUGCCAUUCAAUGAAGCCGUCAUAUCAUAGUUUACAUGAUCCCCACCUUAACGAGCAUCUACACCGCAGGCAUAUCCACAGUAAUCUCAAGGAAAGAAACUUGAUUACUAGUGAUGAUAUGGUAGUAUGUUCUCGCAAGGAAUACUUCAUGUACCAGGAUUAUGUUGAUGGUGUCAAGAAUGACUUUGAAAACAAACAACAGAGAGAAAGGCAGAAAAGGUUUCUUGAGCUUGAAGAGCAGGGUCUGAUUCCAGACAGCGUGACUGCUGAAGAUAUCAGAACCUUUUUGCUAACAAAUGAGCUCCCAAAGCAUGAGGAAACACAGCAACAGUGUGGACCAGAGUAAGGAAAAUAU
Long non-coding RNA from Sardina pilchardus (European sardine), 381 nucleotides. RefSeq lists it as uncharacterized. The transcript is spliced from 3 exons. NCBI's taxonomy places the organism in Eukaryota, Metazoa, Chordata, Actinopteri, Clupeiformes, Clupeidae. The record is from RefSeq and is a predicted model, not a curated record.